This 272-nucleotide long non-coding RNA is filed under the name Ananas comosus (pineapple). RNAcentral's name for it is "long non-coding RNA (ACOM_LNC034125)". Lineage: Eukaryota; Viridiplantae; Streptophyta; Magnoliopsida; Poales; Bromeliaceae. The record is from RNAcentral.
CUUCAUUUUUUAUCGGAUUGAAACGGAUUCAUGACAGAUUAAUUUUUAUUUUAGUUUUGACUCUCACUGACCGCCUCAUUCUGGACGUAUCGGGGAGGGAGUGAAUUUUUGGCGAAUUUUUAACGUAUCGAGACAGAUUGAAAAAAAAAAAAAAGUUUCCCGUCUUUCACUUUAUUUACUCGACGAAUCGGGACGAAUUCGGGACGAGUUAUAUUUUUUUAUAUUUUUUAUUCUCACCUAUAGUCCCAUUCAGAAUGAGAACGAGUUAGGAC